GUGGGUAGCAAACAGGAUUAGAUACCUUGUAGUCCACCCNGUAACCGAUGGAUACUAGGUGUAGGGGGUAUCACCUCCCCUUGUGCCGCAGUUACCNCAAUAAGUAUCCCGCCUGGGGAGUACGGUCGCAAGAUUAAAACUCAAAGGAAUUGACGGGGGCCGCACAAGCAGCGGAGCAUGUGGUUUAAUUCGAAGCAACGCGAAGAACCUUACCUGGACUUGACAUCCCUUGCAUAGCCUAGAGAUAGGUGAAGCCCUUCGGGGCAAGGAGACAGGUGGUGCAUGGUUGUCGUCAGCUCGUGUCGUGAGAUGUUAGGUUAAGUCCUGCAACGAGCGCAACCCUUGUUAUUAGUUGCUACCAUUAAGUUGAGCACUCUAAUGAGACUGCCUGGGUAACCAGGAGGAAGGUGGGGAUGACGUCAAAUCAUCAUGCCCCUUAUGUCCAGGGCUACACACGUGCUACAAUGGUAGGUACAAUAAGACGCAAGACCGUGAGGUGGAGCAAAACUUAUAAAACCUAUCUCAGUUCGGAUUGUAGGCUGCAACUCGCCUACAUGAAGCUGGAGUUGCUAGUAAUCGCGAAUCAGAAUGUCGCGGUGAAUACGUUCCCGGCNCCUUGUACACACCGCCCGUCACACCAUGAGAGCUGGUAACACCCGAAGUCCGUGAGGUAACCGUAAGGAGCCAACGGNGAAGGUGGGUUAA
RNAcentral lists this ribosomal RNA (705 nucleotides) under Clostridium sp. 21. RNAcentral describes it as "bacterial SSU rRNA". It matches the Rfam family "Bacterial small subunit ribosomal RNA", at positions 761 to 1470 of the family's 1533-position model. The record is from RNAcentral. Lineage: Bacteria; Bacillati; Bacillota; Clostridia; Eubacteriales; Clostridiaceae.